GUUGACCUCGGAUCAGGUAGGGAUACCCGCUGAACUUAAGCAUAUCAAUAAGCGGAGGAAAAGAAACCAACAGGGAUUGCUCUAGUAACGGCGAGUGAAGCAGCAAUAGCUCAAAUUUGAAAUCUGGCGUCUUCGACGUCCGAGUUGUAAUUUGUAGAGGAUGCUUCUGAGUAACCACCGACCUAAGUUCCUUGGAACAGGACGUCAUAGAGGGUGA
This 217-nucleotide ribosomal RNA is filed under the name Cladosporium delicatulum. RNAcentral describes it as "partial 28S ribosomal RNA". It matches the Rfam family "Eukaryotic large subunit ribosomal RNA", at positions 1 to 215 of the family's 3401-position model. Lineage: Eukaryota; Fungi; Ascomycota; Dothideomycetes; Cladosporiales; Cladosporiaceae. The record is from RNAcentral.